Molecule: ribosomal RNA, 253 nt
Filed under: uncultured bacterium
Lineage: Bacteria
Description: partial 16S ribosomal RNA
Rfam family: Bacterial small subunit ribosomal RNA
Source: RNAcentral
UACGUAGGGUGCAAGCGUUGUCCGGAAUUAUUGGGCGUAAAGAGCUCGUAGGCGGUUUGUCGCGUCGAAUGUGAAAACCCGGGGCUCAACCCCGGGCCUGCAUUCGAUACGGGCAGGCUAGAGUUCGGUAGGGGAGUCUGGAAUUCCUGGUGUAGCGGUGAAAUGCGCAGAUAUCAGGAGGAACACCGGUGGCGAAGGCGGGGCUCUGGGCCGAUACUGACGCUGAGGAGCGAAAGCGUGGGGAGCAAACAGG